AUCAUCUGGGGAUCCUGUUAAAAUGCAGAUUCUAAUUCAGUAGGUUUGGAGUGGGGUUGGAGAUUCUGUGUUUCUAACAAGCUCCCAGUUGAUGCUGA
RNAcentral lists this microRNA precursor (98 nucleotides) under Canis lupus dingo (dingo). RNAcentral describes it as "mir-544 microRNA precursor family". It matches the Rfam family "mir-544 microRNA precursor family". The record is from Rfam by way of RNAcentral. Lineage: Eukaryota; Metazoa; Chordata; Mammalia; Carnivora; Canidae.